UAAGAGAGUGUGAAGAAGGGUGACGACC
Molecule: non-coding RNA, 28 nt
Filed under: Mus musculus (house mouse)
Lineage: Eukaryota; Metazoa; Chordata; Mammalia; Rodentia; Muridae
Source: RNAcentral